UGGCCCAGCCCAGCGGGGCCCCCAACCCGAAUAGGAGAAGGGGAGGGCGGCAUGGGGGCCCCUCCUGUGGACCCCACCCAGCAGACCCCUUCCUGCAGGCCGUGCGGUUGCCGCCAUCCUGGGCCUGGGCCUGGUGCUGGGGCUGCUGGGCCCCCUGGCCAUCCUGCUGGCCCUGUACCUGCUCCGGAGGGACCAGAGGCUGCCCCCCGAUGCCCACAAGCCCCCUGGUGAGUGCCUCAUGGCCCUGCCGCACUGCUCCUGGCGGGUGAGGCCCACCCACCAAUCUCUCCUUUUUUCCUCCCCAGGGGGAGGCAGUUUCCGGACCCCCAUCCAAGAGGAGCAGGCCGACGCCCACUCCACCCUGGCCAAGAUCU
Molecule: long non-coding RNA, 374 nt
Filed under: Homo sapiens (human)
Lineage: Eukaryota; Metazoa; Chordata; Mammalia; Primates; Hominidae
Description: non-protein coding lnc-TNFRSF4-1:3
Source: RNAcentral